AUUGAACGCUGGCGGCAGGCUUAACACAUGCAAGUCGAGCGGGGGAAGGUAGCUUGCUACCGGACCUAGCGGCGGACGGGUGAGUAAUGCUUAGGAAUCUGCCUAUUAGUGGGGGACAACAUCUCGAAAGGGAUGCUAAUACCGCAUACGUCCUACGGGAGAAAGCAGGGGAUCUUCGGACCUUGCGCUAAUAGAUGAGCCUAAGUCGGAUUAGCUAGUUGGUGGGGUAAAGGCCUACCAGGGCGACGAUCUGUAGCGGGUCUGAGAGGAUGAUCCGCCAGACUGGGGCUGAGACCCGGCCCAGACUCCUACGGAAGGCAGCAGUGGGGAAUAUUGGACAAUGGGGGGAACCCUGAUCCAGCCAUGCCGCGUGUGUGAAGAAGGCCUUAUGGUUGUAAAGCACUUUAAGCGAGGAGGAGGCUACUUUAGUUAAUACCUAGAGAUAGUGGACGUUACUCGCAGAAUAAGCACCGGCUAACUCUGUGCCAGCCGCCGCGGUAA
This 501-nucleotide ribosomal RNA is filed under the name uncultured bacterium. Its description in RNAcentral is "partial 16S ribosomal RNA". It matches the Rfam family "Bacterial small subunit ribosomal RNA", at positions 30 to 523 of the family's 1533-position model. The record is from RNAcentral.